This 575-nucleotide ribosomal RNA is filed under the name uncultured archaeon. Its description in RNAcentral is "bacterial SSU rRNA". It matches the Rfam family "Bacterial small subunit ribosomal RNA", at positions 398 to 965 of the family's 1533-position model. The record is from RNAcentral.
CGCGUGAGUGAAGAAGGCUUCGGGUUGUAAAAGCUCUUUUGUCAGAGAAGAAACAGAGCUCUAACACAGUUUGCGAAUGACGGUACCUGAAGAAUAAACACCUGGCUACCUACGUGCCAGCAAGCGCGGUAAUACGUAGGGUGCAAAGCGUUAAUCGGAAUUACUGGGCGUAAAGCGUGCGCAAGCGGUUAUGUAAGACACGCGUGAAAUCCCCGGGCUUACCUGAGAAUUGCGCUUGUGACUGCAUAGCUAGAGUAUGUCAGAGGGGGGUAGAAUUCCACGUGUAGCAGUGAAAUGCGUAGAGAUGUGGAGGAAUACCAAUGGCGAAGGCAGCCCCCUGGGAUAAUACUGACGCUCAUGCACGAAAGCGUGGGGAGCAAACAGGAUUAGAUACCCUGGUAAUCCAAGCCCUAAAAGAUGCUGACUAGUCGUACGGGAAUCUAUUCCUGAGUAACGUAGCUAACGCGUGAAGUCAAGCGCCUGGGGAGUACGGUCGCAAGAUUAAAAUCAAAGGAAUAGACGGGGACCCGAACAAGCGGUGGCAUCGAUGUGGAUUAAUUCCGAUGCAACGCGAA